This 498-nucleotide ribosomal RNA is filed under the name uncultured bacterium. RNAcentral describes it as "bacterial SSU rRNA". It matches the Rfam family "Bacterial small subunit ribosomal RNA", at positions 29 to 517 of the family's 1533-position model. The record is from RNAcentral.
AGUGAACGCUGGCGGCAGGCCUAAUACAUGCAAGUCGAACGGCAGCACAGUGGAGCUUGCUCCAUGGGUGGCGAGUGGCGGACGGGUGAGGAAUACAUGGGAAUCUGCCCAGUCGUGGGGAUAACGUAUGGAAACGUACGCUAAUACCGCAUGCGCCCUUCGGGGGAAAGUCGGGGACCGCAAGGCCUGACGCGAUUGGAUGAGCCCAUGUUCGAUUAGCUAGUUGGCGGGUAACGGCCCACCAAGGCGACGAUCGAUAGCUGGUCUGAGAGGAUGAUCAGCCACACUGGAACUGAGACACGGUCCAGACUCCUACGGGAGGCAGCAGUAGGGAAUAUUGGACAAUGGGCGCAAGCCUGAUCCAGCCAUGCCGCGUGAGUGAAGAAGGCCCUCGGGUUGUAAAGCUCUUUUGUUGGGGAAGAAAGGCAGUUGGUUAAUACCCGAUUGUUCUGACGGUACCCAAAGAAUAAGCACCGGCUAACUUCGUGCCAGCAGCCG